Long non-coding RNA from Mytilus californianus (California mussel), 546 nucleotides. RefSeq lists it as uncharacterized. The transcript has 2 exons. The record is from RefSeq and is a predicted model, not a curated record. NCBI's taxonomy places the organism in Eukaryota, Metazoa, Mollusca, Bivalvia, Mytilida, Mytilidae.
GUUUGGCAACAAUGAAAUAAUUUGUAGCUCAUUUCAGUAUCCAUAAAAGUCCCAUAAAACCUGAUUGGUUAGAUAUAAGGAUUCCUCAUCAAAAAGACUUCUCAGUAACAGCUUUGUACUUCCACAGAUUAAGAUGAAAUAUUUCUCCAUUUUGUUUCUGUGGUUAGUUUUUCAACCUUACAGCAGUGGAGAAUUGAAGGUUGAUUUUCUAAAAACUGUUAAAAAAUGGUAUAUGGCACCAACAUCGAUUGUAUGCCGGUUUGCAGGUCGGUGGGCAGUGAUCCCAUACAAGGAUGCAGCUAAGAUUCGGUGUAACAGGUCCAGAUGUCAAUGUUAUAAACCUAUUCACAAGACUUUCCUUCUAUGAAGAAAAGCUAAGGAUGAGGUUUACAGAUGAAGGAGUUGAUAAUAAUAAAUAAACUGAAUAGAAAAGUGGAUAUAUAUUGUUUAACAGAUACAAAAUUAAAAUGUAUUACCAUUUUACAGACCAAAUAAUCAUGUCUAAGCAAUUCCUAAUGUUCAUUAAAAUCAAGUAAACAAAAUUUC